Molecule: long non-coding RNA, 2799 nt
Filed under: Phaseolus vulgaris (common bean)
Lineage: Eukaryota; Viridiplantae; Streptophyta; Magnoliopsida; Fabales; Fabaceae
Description: long non-coding RNA (PVUL_LNC001599)
Source: RNAcentral
CAGCAUAACAUUACUCUCAUUAAUCUUGCAAAUACAAGUGCUAGGCAUCUCCUUUUAUAGGCUAAGGAGGCCGUAAAUGUUAAGCUAAGUGCACAUGAAAUGUAAGCAAAAUGAAAUGGAAAUGUGGAGGCACAUGGGCACAUGGAGCACAUGGAGCACAUGGGUGCACAUGGCUUCAUAAAACCGUCCCUUGAUUAGUGAAGGCUUCUAGAAACCUUUAGCUAAUCAAGGUUAACUCCUCCUUAAUUCUAAUGUGCAGAAAAAUAAACAUUUGUCCACAUGGCUAUGCUAUUUACACCCUAAUUAAAGCUAAACUACACUUGUUGGGCCUUCACAUUAUAUGUGCUAGUAUGCCACUCUCCCGUUUAUAGCUUGAUCCAAGUCUUCUUGUCCUAGACACUCCUAGCUUGGUCUUCUUGUCCUAGACGCUCUUAGCUUGGUCUUCUUGUCCUAGACGCUCCUAGCUUGCUCUUCUUGUCCUAGACGCUCCUAGCUUGUCUUAGACGCUCCUAGCUUGGUCUUAGACACUCCUAGCUUAAUCUUGGACGUUCUUGACUUGGCUCUUGCCUUUCAUGAAAGGUUGUGCUUGGCCCUCUUCCAUCAAUUUUCUUUCUCUCUCUUUUCUCUCAUUUUAACUUGGUCGUCAUGGACUUCCUUUGGAGAGAGAGACUUAAGAAUGACUUUGUGCCCAUGGAAGUUAAAAGAAAUUUUUUUGGUAAAGCCAUCAUGAAAAACUUUUCUAUCAAAUUGGCAUGGCCUACCUAAAAGAAUAUGUGUGGCUUCCAUUGGGACAACAUCACACAAGACCUCAUCUUUAUAUUUACCAAUAGAAAAUGUAAUGAGGACUUUCUUGUUAACAAUAAUCUCACCUACCUCACUUAAUCAUUGUAAUUUGUAGGGCUUGGCAUGAGAGAUGGUAGAUAAUCCAAGCUUGUUUACCACUCUUGUGCUUGCCACAUUAGCACAACUCCCCUCAUCCACAAUCAAAGAGCACACCCUUUCAUUAAUAAGACACCUUGAAUGAAAGAUAUUCUCUCUUUGACUUUCAUCAAAGGGUUUUAAAACUUGUCCAAGCAUGCGUCUUAUUACCAAUAGGUCACCCUCAUGUGGGCUUUCACUCUCAUUCUCACUUGGGGACCUAGAAGGUGAGGAAUGUCUAGAGUUUUCGGACUCAUGCUCACUAACCACUACCCCAUCAUGCAUAUACAUAUUUCGUUUAGAAGGGCAAUUAGAAGCAAUAUGUCCAUAGCUUAAGCAUUUAAAACACUUCGUACUAGAUGAUUUAGUUGGUGAUUUAGGCCUAGAAUUGGAAGUGGAAGGUUAGAAUCUCUAUAUUUGAAAGUAGAGUCCUUAGAAGGGAGAUUUGAAAAAGAGCCAUUUCUAUUUUUCAAAGAAGAGUGGUAGUAACUAUCUUUAGAAGAAUUUUUGAAAGCAUUUUUCCUUGCAAUUUGAUUUUCAAUUUUACUAGCAAGGUGAACUACAUUUUGUAAUGAAGAAUAUUCUUGUAGUUCUACCACGUCUUGAAUGUCCCUUCGAAGGCCACUAACAAACCUAGCUAUUUUAGCUUCCUCACUCUCAUCCAUAUGAACUCUAAUUAAAAGCGUGUCUAGUUGUUUAAAGUAAUCAUCCACACUUAGCGUGCCUUGAUGAAACCGUUGGAGUUUCAACAAUAGGUCUUUCCUAAAGUGUGGAUGAUGGCAAAUUCAUGGAGCUCUUCUUGGAUGUUGUGAAAAAUGGUGCGGAAGCUAUGGAUUGAGAUGUGCAAGAUCCUCCUAGGAGCUAUGGUGACCUUGAAGGUGCAUGAAGAGUGUGGAAAUGGGGAGGUUCAGCCAGCCCCUUUGAAGGUGGUGAAAGGUUUGAAGAUUAAAAGCCUAUUCCUAAGAGAGUUUAGGCAAGGAGUGAGAAUGGAACAAUUUUGGCAGCAUUUCACUAUUCAAUUAAUCUUACAAAUACAAGUGAUAGGCAUCUCCUUUUAUAGGCUAAGGAGGCCGUAAUUCUUAAGCUAAGUGCAAAUGAAAUGCUAGCUAAAUGUAAUGUAAAUGUGAAGCACAUGGGUGCACAUGGCACAUGGGUGCACAUGGGUGCUGAUGGCAUUUCAUGAAGGUCUUCUUGAAUCAUGUAAGGAAAAGGGGUGCGGAAGCUAUGAAAGUGUGUGAGCAAGAUCCUCCUAAGAGUGGUGUUGAUCUUGAAGGUGCAUGAUGUGUAUGAAGCUAGGGAGGUUCGGCCAACCCAAGGAGAGGUGAAGGAGAUGAAGUUUAGAGCCUAGAAUUCUAGGGAGAAGCAAAUCUUGGCACAAAAAUGGCAGCAUAACUUUACUCACAAUAAACUUGGAAAAUACAAGAGAUAGCCUUCCUAUUUAUAGGCUAUUUGGACGUAGAAGCUAAGCUAAUAGCUAAUGAAAUGGAAACCAAAUGAAAUGCAAAUCAUAAGCCAUGUGCCAUGACCGGUCACACAUAGAAAGCUUCUAGAAAGUUUCACUCAAAUAUGCUUUCUACACUACUCUAAUUACUAAGUACCCCUAAUGGGCCUUUAUGCAACAUGUACAAAGCCUUCUCUCUUCCAUCCGUGGCUUCAUUCACUUGGGCUUGAACAUGCUUGGCCAUUGACCUUGUGAGAGGACCUAGACGGUCUAGUUCCACAUCUAGAUGCUCCAUCCUUGUAGCUAGACGCUCUUCUUGGUCUAGACGCUCUUCAUGGUUUGGGCUUUGGCUCCCAUGGCUAGAUGUGCUUGGCCCUCUUCCAUCAGGUGCACAUGGUCCUUUAUUAGUAAAGGCUUCUAGAAACCUUUAGCUAAUCAAG